This 253-nucleotide ribosomal RNA is filed under the name uncultured bacterium. RNAcentral describes it as "partial 16S ribosomal RNA". It matches the Rfam family "Bacterial small subunit ribosomal RNA", at positions 524 to 776 of the family's 1533-position model. The record is from RNAcentral.
UACGAAGGGGGCUAGCGUUGCUCGGAAUCACUGGGCGUAAAGCGCACGUAGGCGGAUUGUUAAGUCAGGGGUGAAAUCCUGGAGCUCAACUCCAGAACUGCCUUUGAUACUGACGGUCUUGAGUUCGGGAGAGGUGAGUGGAACUGCGAGUGUAGAGGUGAAAUUCGUAGAUAUUCGCAAGAACACCAGUGGCGAAGGCGGCUCACUGGCUCGGUACUGACGCUGAGGUGCGAAAGCGUGGGGAGCAAACAGG